Melitaea cinxia (Glanville fritillary) is the source of this 344-nucleotide long non-coding RNA. RefSeq lists it as uncharacterized. NCBI's taxonomy places the organism in Eukaryota, Metazoa, Arthropoda, Insecta, Lepidoptera, Nymphalidae. The record is from RefSeq and is a predicted model, not a curated record. The transcript is spliced from 2 exons.
CGUUCAUCGUAACUUGACGCGUGACUAAUUGGUAGCACUGUUUCCUCAGUCGCCAUCUUACUUUCAGUUUGAUAGCUUGCUGUUUGUGUGCUCUUUUGGUUUAUAAUAAGUUAAUCUGAGUGUUAAAAAUGCCGAAGGUGGUAAAAAGUGUUAAAAGACAAACUAUUCUUCAAGUUUACGCAUUUUGUGAGAAAGAAAAGACUGAGAACAAGCUGAUUAUUCCAUUGCAACAAGUUCGUGCCCGAGUUGCCGCCAUGACCGAUGUAUCCGAAUCUACUGUGACCAGGAUUUUGAGACAAGAAAGAGAGUCCAGUUCUGUUUCGGGUGUGCCUGGUCCGUCAAAA